RNAcentral lists this transfer RNA (82 nucleotides) under Clonostachys rosea. It matches the Rfam family "tRNA". Rfam says of the family: Transfer RNA (tRNA) molecules are approximately 80 nucleotides in length. Their secondary structure includes four short double-helical elements and three loops (D, anti-codon, and T loops). Lineage: Eukaryota; Fungi; Ascomycota; Sordariomycetes; Hypocreales; Bionectriaceae. The record is from RNAcentral. RNAcentral also lists the same sequence under 5 other names.
GGCAAGUUGGCAGAGUGGUCUAAUGCGGUGGUCUUAAGCACCAUUAUCGAGAGAUGCGUGGGUUCGAACCCCACACUUGUCA